This 497-nucleotide ribosomal RNA is filed under the name uncultured bacterium. RNAcentral describes it as "partial 16S ribosomal RNA". It matches the Rfam family "Bacterial small subunit ribosomal RNA", at positions 28 to 507 of the family's 1533-position model. The record is from RNAcentral.
GAUGAACGCUGGCGGCGUGCCUAAUACAUGCAAGUCGAGCGAACAGACGAGGAGCUUGCUCCUCUGACGUUAGCGGCGGACGGGUGAGUAACACGUGGAUAACCUACCUAUAAGACUGGGAUAACUUCGGGAAACCGGAGCUAAUACCGGAUAAUAUAUUGAACCGCAUGGUUCAAUAGUGAAAGACGGUUUUGCUGUCACUUAUAGAUUGAUCCGCGCCGCAUUAGCUAGUUGGUAAGGUAACGGCUUACCAAGGCAACGAUGCGUAGCCGACCUGAGAGGGGGAUCGGCCAAACUGGAACUGAGACACGGUCCAGACUCCUACGGGAGGCAGCAGUAGGGAAUCUUCCGCAAUGGGCGAAAGCAUGACGGAGCAACGCCGCGUGAGUGAUGAAGGUCUUCGGAUCGUAAAACUCUGUUAUUAGGGAAGAACAAAUGUGUAAGUAACUAUGCACGUCUUGACGGUACCUAAUCAGAAAGCCACGGCUAACUACGUG